This 218-nucleotide long non-coding RNA is filed under the name Citrus sinensis (sweet orange). RNAcentral describes it as "long non-coding RNA (CSIN_LNC002038)". The record is from RNAcentral. Lineage: Eukaryota; Viridiplantae; Streptophyta; Magnoliopsida; Sapindales; Rutaceae.
UUUUUUUAAUAACAGUUUGUUAGCAUAAAUAUUUACUUGUGAAAUCGAGGAGGAGAAAAUGUUAGAAAAAAUAAAAAGAAAAAAAAUAUAAGGGAGAUAGAAUCAGAUUUUCUUUUUUGAGCAAAGAACAUACGUAAAAAGACAUUAAAUCUAUUAAGUCUAAUUGUCUAUAACGGUAAAUUGCAUAACGAAUAAUUUAUCAGCGUAAAAUAAAUUUU